GACGAACGCUGGCGGCGUGCUUAACACAUGCAAGUCGAACGGAAAGGCCCUGCUUUUGUGGGGUGCUCGAGUGGCGAACGGGUGAGUAACACGUGAGUAACCUGCCCUUGACUUUGGGAUAACUUCAGGAAACUGGGGCUAAUACCGGAUAGGAGCUCCUGCUGCAUGGUGGGGGUUGGAAAGUUUCGGCGGUUUGGGAUGGACUCGCGGCUUAUCAGCUUGUUGGUGGGGUAGUGGCUUACCAAGGCUUUGACGGGUAGCCGGCCUGGGAGGGUGACCGGCCACAUUGGGACUGAGAUACGGCCCAGACUCCUACGGGAGGCAGCAGUGGGGAAUAUUGCACAAUGGGCGGAAGCCUGAUGCAGCAACGCCGCGUGCGGGAUGACGGCCUUCGGGUUGUAAACCGCUUUCGCCGGUGACGAAGCGUGAGUGACGGUAAUGGGUAAAGAAGCACCGGCUAACUACGUG
This 468-nucleotide ribosomal RNA is filed under the name uncultured bacterium. Its description in RNAcentral is "partial 16S ribosomal RNA". It matches the Rfam family "Bacterial small subunit ribosomal RNA", at positions 28 to 507 of the family's 1533-position model. The record is from RNAcentral.